Molecule: long non-coding RNA, 270 nt
Organism: Alexandromys fortis (reed vole)
Lineage: Eukaryota; Metazoa; Chordata; Mammalia; Rodentia; Cricetidae
Exons: 3
Source: RefSeq, a predicted model, not a curated record
AGAAAGCACAGUGAGCUGGGCAUGGUGGCAUCUGCCUGUAAUCACAGGACUGAGGAUGCAGAGGUGCUCGGGAUCAGUCCAGGGCCUCAUGCUCAUGUGCGCCAGGCAAGCUUUUCCACCUACUCACACAACCAGAUCAAGAUGUAGAACUCUCAACUCCUUCUCCAGUACCACGUCUGCCUGCAUGCCACCAUGCUUCUCACCAUGACAAUAAUGGAUUAAACCACUGAACUGUAAGCAAGUCCCAAAUAAAUGUUUUCCUUUGUAAGA